GCGAGUGGACAACCCCAUUACAUCGUUAUGUUAUGAUUAGAGUGACUAGUUUUCAUAUUUAAACAGUGAUAUGACACCUUGGUCACAAAAGAGGGUCGACAGGUCGCACACUUUACAUAGAUAGAUAUUAUGAAACAGGCGAAACAGAGUCGGUAGUUUGAAUUGGACGAGUUGUACCUUACCAUCGAUACCAGGCCUAGAGAAAGACCUGCAAUAACAGGCGAUUCACUGUACUACAAACUACCGAUUCGAAUAGUUAUUAUAACGAAGUUGAAGCGGAUCGUGACAUAAACAAGUUCAGUCGACUAGUGACCUCGUUAUCAGUUUGAAGUAAUCCAGCCAUAACAAAGGCUAGAAUGUCAAACGUUGGUAGUCAGCCCGAGAAGUUUACUCUACAAGAUGAUUUUGAAGAAAGACGAAAAUUGAAUCCCACCCAAAUGGUAGCGAAAAUAGACGAGUGGGUCAGAGCUGGAAAAUACGAAGACGACAUGGAUUCUAUAGGUAACCAAGGAUACCAUAUUGUUAGUAGAACAGUAGGAGAAUAUUAUAAAACAAACCGAGAAAAUAUUAAAGUUAUAGAUGUCGCUGCUGGUACUGGAUUAGUAUCUGUGGAGCUAAAGAAACUUGGUUUCAAAGACAUGGAUGCUGUUGACGCUAGUGAAGAAAUGAUGAAAGUUGCAAUUAAAAGAAAUAUCUUUAAUAAAUACUAUGUAGAGUAUGUUGAUGGUCAUAGACUGCCUAUUGAAACAGAUGCCUAUGAUUGUGCUGUUGUAUCCGGUGGGUUUUCACAAAGUUUUUUGCCAUGCAAUGCUUUGUUUGAAAUUGUUAGAAUCGUUAAACCAGGUGGUAUCAUAUGUAUAGAAAUGAUAGAAAGCAACUUAAAUCGUGUACCAGAAUUUGUAGAGAGACUAGAACCAUUAUGGAAGAAGUUUGCUAUGGAAGGAGUAUGGGAGGUGUUGAAAAAGGAUAUUAUACCAGAACUUGUAACAGGAGAGAACGGAUUAUUAAUGAUAUAUAAAGUUUUAACAUCUGAGAUAUCUUUUCCACAGUUACCUCCGCUUUAAUGAUAACUUCAUUAUCACAAUGUGGAAGGCGUAUGGGAGGUAUUGAGAAGGGCUGCUAUAUCCGAAAUUGUUACAGAAGAGAACGGAUUAUUAAUCACAUAUAUAGUUUUAACAUCAUCAUUAUGAAUAACACGGUUACCUCUGUUUUAAUUGGGGGUCGGAUGGUUAGCUCGUGCUCGCUGUAUCAUAAGGCCUGUCAUUGAGUCAACUGGCGUGGUUUCGAUUCCCCUGUCCAACUUCGUGGGUUUUCUCCGGUUCCUCCGGUUUCCUCCUACUACUAAAAACUCCUACGGGCUUGCGAAUUAAUGAAAUAAAAUUGAACCAUAUUAUGUUUGUCCAGAAAUGACGUAGUUUGUGUCCAAUGGACGUUACACCCCAUUUCUCUCUCUAUCUCUCUUUGAUAACUUCAUUAGUCGUCUUGUCACCGAUCUCAUUAUUUGUGUAUAUAAAAAAUUUUAAUGGA
This is a long non-coding RNA of Patella vulgata (common limpet), 1527 nucleotides long. RefSeq lists it as uncharacterized. Lineage: Eukaryota; Metazoa; Mollusca; Gastropoda; Patellidae. The transcript has 7 exons. The record is from RefSeq and is a predicted model, not a curated record.